UCCAGACUCCUACGGGAGGCAGCAGUGGGGAAUAUUGCACAAUGGGGGAAACCCUGAUGCAGCGACGCCGCGUGAGUGAAGAAGUAUUUCGGUAUGUAAAGCUCUCUCAGCAGGGAAGAAAUAGCGACCUUUGGGUCGCCAGACGGUACCUGACUAAGAAGCCCCGGCUAACUACGUGCCAGCAGCCGCGGUAAUACGUAGGGGGCAAGCGUUAUCCGGAUUUACUGGGUGUAAAGGGAGCGUAGACGGCUGUGCAAGUCUGAAGUGAAAGCCCGUGGCUCAACCGCGGAACUGCUUUGGAAACUGUAUAGCUUGAGUACUGGAGAGGCAGGCGGAAUUCCUAGUGUAGCGGUGAAAUGCGUAGAUAUUAGGAGGAACACCAGUGGCGAAGGCGGCCUGCUGGACAGAAACUGACGUUGAGGCUCGAAAGCGUGGGGAGCAAACAGGAUUAGAUACCCUAGUA
Molecule: ribosomal RNA, 463 nt
Filed under: uncultured bacterium
Lineage: Bacteria
Description: bacterial SSU rRNA
Rfam family: Bacterial small subunit ribosomal RNA
Source: RNAcentral